GUGACAUGUCUCUCAUUCUUGGCUCAUCCAAAAUCAGCCCAAGGAUGUUCAUAUUCUAGACCUGACGCUAUUGGGUAAACGAACGUCUAUGCAAAUCCUUCCUGUUAUCUGCUCUGCAUAAAUAAUCAGCUCGUUGCUCAGUUACAGCUCAUAUCACCCAACUGAAAUCCAGAGCUUUCAACCAUCACAGAGUUGAUUAUGGGGCUGAACGACAUUCAGCAAUGCAUUUUUAUACUCGUGUUAGCACAAGGUUUUUGCAGUGCUGAGAUCAGACUGGACCAGUCUCCUGCUGUGGUAAAGAAACCUGGAGAAUCUGUGAAGAUCUCCUGUAAAAUAAGUGGAUUUUCAAUGACAAGCUCUUACAUGCAGUGGAUACGACAGAAACCAGGGAAAGCUCUGGAAUGGAUUGGUAUGAUGGACGCAGGGAAAAAUGAUGUAACAUAUGCAAAGUCUUUCAAAAACCAUUUCACCAUGACAGAAGACGUCUCAGCAAGCACACAGUACUUAGAGGCCAAGAGUCUGAGGACAGAGGACAAUGUAUGGGUGGUUUUGUCAAUGUAUGGGUGGUUUUGUAGUAUUGUUUACAGGUAUGCAGUUUUACUAAAAUAUUUUGUUCUUUUAGCUGAUUCUGCUUUGACUUUUAUCGAGAUUAUUAUGGGCCACAGUGUUAAUGAAGCACCUGAGCAGAAAGCACUGUAAUCUAACUAUAGUUCUGCAUUACGUAUAUCAAGUGAGCUACAUUUGUCCUCCAAUGUACAAAUAAACUGAUGUUUUACCUUAAUAUAUCAGAGUGUUUCUAAUAAUCUGUAACUCCUCUUGGGCCUGGACAUGCAAAUAAAACUUUCCCUUUAUAUGAGCACAAAAUCCAGGUGCAUUAUUUACACUUAGUUUAAACUCCAGAAAGAGCCAUGCAGUCACACAUUAAUUCCUGUUUUCUUUGGACAUUAUUGACCAUAACCCGGGAGUAACAGCUUCUUUGUGCAGGUAUCAUUCAUAUAAAUUGUGUCAUUAUGUAAAAGUAUAAAAUG
This is a non-coding RNA of Silurus meridionalis, 1028 nucleotides long. The record is from the annotation of a RefSeq genome assembly. Lineage: Eukaryota; Metazoa; Chordata; Actinopteri; Siluriformes; Siluridae.